Molecule: ribosomal RNA, 472 nt
Filed under: uncultured bacterium
Lineage: Bacteria
Description: bacterial SSU rRNA
Rfam family: Bacterial small subunit ribosomal RNA
Source: RNAcentral
ACUCCUACGGGAGGCAGCAGUGGGGAAUAUUGCACAAUGGGCGCAAGCCUGAUGCAGCCAUGCCGCGUGUGUGAAGAAGGCCUCGGUUGUAAAGCACUUUCAGUCGUGAGGAAGGUAGUGUAGUUAAUAGCUGCAUUAUUUGUACGUUAGCGACAGAAGAAGCACCGGCUAACUCCGUGCCAGCAGCCGCGGUAAUACGGAGGGGUGCGAGCGUUAAUCGGAAUUACUGGGCGUAAAGCGCAUGCAGGUGGUUUGUUAAGUCAGAUGUGAAAGCCCGGGGCUCAACCUCGGAAUAGCAUUUGAAACUGGCAGACUAGAGUACUGUAGAGGGGGUAGAAUUUCAGGUGUAGCGGUGAAAUGCGUAGAGAUCUGAAGGAAUACCGGUGGCGAAGGCGGCCCCCUGGACAGAUACUGACACUCAGAUGCGAAAGCGUGGGGAGCAAACAGGAUUAGAUACCCUGGUAGGACAGUG